RNAcentral lists this ribosomal RNA (426 nucleotides) under uncultured bacterium. RNAcentral's name for it is "bacterial SSU rRNA". It matches the Rfam family "Bacterial small subunit ribosomal RNA", at positions 356 to 774 of the family's 1533-position model. The record is from RNAcentral.
AGGGAAUCUUCGGCAAUGGACGAAAGUCUGACCGAGCAACGCCGCGUGAGCGAAGAAGGCCUUCGGGUCGUAAAGCUCUGUUGUUAGAGAAGAACAUGGGUGAGAGUAACUAUUCACCCCUUGACGGUAUCUAACCAGAAAGCCACGGCUAACUACGUGCCAGCAGCCGCGGUAAUACGUAGGUGGCAAGCGUUGUCCGGAAUUACUGGGCGUAAAGCGCACGCAGGCGGUCUGUCAAGUCGGAUGUGAAAUCCCCGGGCUCAACCUGGGAACUGCAUUCGAAACUGGCAGGCUAGAGUCUUGUAGAGGGGGGUAGAAUUCCAGGUGUAGCGGUGAAAUGCGUAGAGAUCUGGAGGAAUACCGGUGGCGAAGGCGGCCCCCUGGACAAAUACUGACGCUGAGGUGCGAAAGCGUGGGGAGCAAACA